AUGCGUAGGGGGCGAGCGUUGUCCGGAAUGAUUGGGCGUAAAGGGCGCGUAGGCGGCCCGGUAAGUCUGGAGUGAAAGUCCUGCUUUUAAGGUGGGAAUUGCUUUGGAUACUGUCGGGCUUGAGUGCAGGAGAGGUAAGUGGAAUUCCCAGUGUAGCGGUGAAAUGCGUAGAGAUUGGGAGGAACACCAGUGGCGAAGGCGACUUACUGGACUGUAACUGACGCUGAGGCGCGAAAGUGUGGGGAGCAAACAGGAUUAGAUACCCUGGUAGUCCACACUGUAAACGAUGAAUGCUAGGUGUAGGGGGUAUCGACCCCUUCUGUGCCGCAGUUAACACAAUAAGCAUUCCGCCUGGGGAGUACGGCCGCAAGGUUGAAACUCAAAGGAAUUGGCGGGG
This 397-nucleotide ribosomal RNA is filed under the name uncultured bacterium. RNAcentral describes it as "partial 16S ribosomal RNA". It matches the Rfam family "Bacterial small subunit ribosomal RNA", at positions 523 to 918 of the family's 1533-position model. The record is from RNAcentral.